GCUACACCGCGCCUUGCCUCACCAGUUCCUGGCCUGCCAACGCCCCCGCUCUUCACCUUCUCUUCUCCAGAGUUCAGCCUUUAUUCCACCUACACACUUGUCCAUUCACGACAACCCCUCCCCCUCAAACCCGACCUUUGUGCACACGGGAGCAUUCCGAUCGUACUACUAACGCUUCGACGUCCUUCUUGUGUUCAUUUUACCAACAAUUUCCCUCGCCUCCAUUCGCUUUUCGGUUUCGACUUCGCUUUUUUCCUUUUUCUUGUCGUUUCUUUACCGUCAUUCUCGUAUCAGCUCGCAAGCAUGUCCUCGCAGCAGCACCUUGUCUCUGAAUUCACGGCCGGCUCCGGCUCGUGGUUGCCGCAGGCGCAGGGCUUCGACACCCUGCAGGUGCACGCCGGCGUCCGCCCCGACCCGGUCACGGGUGCCAUCCUCACCCCGAUCUACCAGUCCACCACGUUCGUGCAGGAGUCGAUCGACAGCUACCAGGCGAAGGGCUACUCCUACACUCGCUCUGCCAACCCUACGGUGGCUGUGCUGGAGCAGAAGCUGUGCGCCUUGGAGAACGGCAACUACUGCACGGUGUACAACACCGGCAUGGCUGCGACCACCACGGCUAUCUCGUCGUUCAUGAACGCCGGAGACCACGCGAUCUUGACGAACUGCUGCUACGGUGGCACUAACCGCGCCUGCCGUGUGUUCUUCAGCCGCCUCGGGAUGGAGUUUACUUUCGUUGACAUGCGCGAUCCCCAGAACGUCAUCGAUUCCAUCAAACCCAACACAAAGUUGGUGAUCAGCGAGACGCCCGCCAACCCCACGUUGAUACUUAUCGACGUUGCUGCGGUGUCGAAGAUAUGCAAAGAAAGGGGUAUUGUGCACAUGUGCGACAACACCUUCGCCACAGCCUACAUCAUGCGCCCGCUCGACCACGGCGCUGAUGUCACCCUGAUCAGCACAACCAAGUACGUGGACGGCCACGACAUGACCGUGGGCGGCGCCCUCGUCACAAACAGCAAGGAGCUGGACGCUAAGGUGCGCCUGACCCAGAACAUCCUUGGCAACGUCAUGAGCCCUCAGGUGGCUUUCCUGCAGCUGCAGACGGUGAAGACAAUGUCGCUGCGCGUGACGAAGCAGAGCCACAACGCACAGAAAGUUGCUGAGUUCCUGGAGAAGCAUCCCGCUGUGGACCGUGUCGUGUACCCGGGUCUUGCUUCCCACCCGCAGAAGGAGCUGGCCGACCGGCAGCACCGCAACAACCUGCACGGCGGCAUGCUCUGGUUUGAGGUCAAGGGCGGGACUGCCGCUGGUCGGCGCCUGAUGGACACCGUGCCGCGCCCAUGGUCCCUCUGCGAGAAUCUCGGUGCCUCGGAGAGCAUCAUCACCUGCCCGUCUGUCAUGACCCACGCGAACAUGACGAGCGAGGACCGCAUGAAGGUGGGCAUCACGGACGGAUUCGUGCGUGUGAGCUGCGGUAUCGAGGACGUCGAUGACCUCAUCGCCGCUCUCAAGAUCGCCAUGGAUGCCCUCGUCUAGUAAGUCACUCCGACUCUCUAGACACCUUCCCCAUCGCACGCAUACACACGCUGAACGAAAAAAAAAGGAGGAAAAGUCGCGUCAACGCAAGGCUGUGCAUAUGCAGCAGCCGGGCACGCUUGCCCUGGACUACAGGAAGCAUAUUCAUACCAUACGACACCAUCUUCGGCAUGUGUGGAGAGAACACGGCUCGCGGAAAAGGACCAGUGGAAGUGGUAGCGAUGACAACAGCAAAAAACAGAGAAAAAAUGCCACACGCACAUGCACACAAAAAAAAGCAGUGAUAUGCGUGUGCGGGGGAGUGGUGGGCGCCAACGGUCUGCGUCAUGUGCAGUUAGGGCAGAGAAAAAAAUGAAUUGCAAACAGCAGUAACAAAAAAGGAGAAACGCGUGCCGUGGGAUGCGUGCCUUAGCAGCGGGGUAGAAGGCGGGACCCGAUGUUCACCGGGAAGCGAAAAGUACUGCACCAGAGCGUCGCAGAAGAAACAAACUGCUUCGUUUAUGGAAAUCUUCCAUGAAAAUGGUGGUGCCGGGUGUGUUGAGAACGGGCGUCUAUCGGACGCUCCGCUAUGUGGUUCCGCCCUCUGUGUACCCCCUCUUUUUGCCUUUCGUAUGUCUGUCUGUGUAGCUUCUGCUAAUGCCCACCUUUUCCUCAAAGUGAUGCUUUUUCGGGUGAGGUAUGCGUUUAGCCGAGCGUGAGAAGCCCGUGUGUGUGUGUAAGGGGGUGGUUGCUGGUAGAUGCGGUCGCUGCUCUUGCUGGUGAUUAGUACUUCUGCGGCGCAAAGAGGAUCGAGAGGGAGACACAAAUAUCGUUCGACACUAUGCUUGCUCUGUGUGGAGCAGCAGCAGCAGUAGCAGUAGUUCUUUUUACUGUUUGGUGGUCACAGGCUUCUGUGACCAGCUCUUCAAUAUUCCUCGGAUACACACACACACACACACGCACAAGCAUGCAUGGAUGUGCAUCCUCGCAUCUCUCUCCUUCUCUGGUCUUUUUUCUCCUCCUGUUUUUUUUUGGUUUCGCGCCUUACGGAGGACGGAGGUUACUAUUAUUAUUCUUCAUCGGCAAUUUUUUAUCUGUUCUUGACCUUCACCGUCCCCUCUGCGUUCCUGACAAG
This 2647-nucleotide unclassified non-coding RNA is filed under the name Leishmania donovani. RNAcentral describes it as "gene:LdHU3.35.4320(CDS-product:cystathione_gamma_ lyase_putative)". The record is from RNAcentral. Lineage: Eukaryota; Euglenozoa; Kinetoplastea; Trypanosomatida; Trypanosomatidae.